AACUAACAGCUUGCAAACAGUUUCAGUAAAGAUACAAUUAUAAAACAUAGAGCCAAUUAUAAAGUUUUCACAAAUAAAAGUAAAGUAAAACAAUCAUAGAUAACAUGCACAGUUGUAAGUCUAAGUAUCUAACAACGUCA
Long non-coding RNA from Aricia agestis (brown argus), 140 nucleotides. RefSeq lists it as uncharacterized. The transcript has 3 exons. NCBI's taxonomy places the organism in Eukaryota, Metazoa, Arthropoda, Insecta, Lepidoptera, Lycaenidae. The record is from RefSeq and is a predicted model, not a curated record.